Molecule: RNase P RNA, 375 nt
Filed under: Parvibaculum sp.
Lineage: Bacteria; Pseudomonadati; Pseudomonadota; Alphaproteobacteria; Hyphomicrobiales; Parvibaculaceae
Description: RNase P RNA component class A
Rfam family: Bacterial RNase P class A
About the family: Ribonuclease P (RNase P) is a ubiquitous endoribonuclease, found in archaea, bacteria and eukarya as well as chloroplasts and mitochondria.
Source: RNAcentral
UCAGAUGGCCGGAUGGCCGCUGCAUGAAAAUGCAGAGGAAAGUCCGGGCUCCACGGAGACACGGUGCCGGCUAACGGCCGGCGGGGGCGACCCCAGGGAAAGUGCCACAGAAAGCAAACCGCCCGGACCUUCGGGGACGGGUAAGGGUGAAAGGGUGCGGUAAGAGCGCACCGCGCGGCCGGUAACGGGCGCGGCACGGCAAACCCCACCGGGAGCAAGACCAAAUAGGGGCGGCAUUUCAGGCGUUUAGCCUGGAAAACCCGUUUCCGGGCCGCCGCCCGGGUUGGUUGCUAGAGGCGUCCGGCAACGGACGUCCCAGAUGAAUGGUCAUCGCCCGCAAGGGUACAGAACCCGGCUUACAGGCCAUCUGACACU